Molecule: ribosomal RNA, 1600 nt
Filed under: Pentacoelum hispaniense
Lineage: Eukaryota; Metazoa; Platyhelminthes; Tricladida; Bdellouridae
Description: eukaryotic LSU rRNA
Rfam family: Eukaryotic large subunit ribosomal RNA
Source: RNAcentral
GCGGCGAGCGAACCGGGAUUAGCCCAACAUCGAAUCCUGGUACCUUCACGGUAUUGGGAGUUGUGAUGUAUAGGAUGGUAUCUUUGAUAGUAGAGUUGACUUGAAAUUCGCUUGAAUGCGAUCUAUCCGUAGAGGGUGCCAGACCCGUUCAGGUUGACAAAGCUGUUAUUGAUGCUGUCUCAUGAGUAGGAUUGUUUGGGAAUGCAGUCCGAAUUGGGAGGUAGAUUCCUUCUAAGGCUAAAUACUUGUCUGAGUCCGAUAGAAAACAAGUACCGUGAGGGAAAGUUGAAAAGAACUUUGAAGAGAGAGUUAAAUAGCACGUGAAAUCGCUUAGAGGAAAACGAGUAGAGCCGAAGGUUGGUGUAUGGAAUUCAGGUAUUUGAGUGUUGCGAUUGUUGAAGUAAAUCUGUAAAGUUUGCUUUAAUGAUUUGUUGGCAUUUGAGUUCUGCACUUUCUAUACAUCAAAUAUGCGACCAGUACUUAGUUUCUCUGUCGUAGAAAUGAAGCUAACUUUGCCUUCGGGUAAAGUUUUAUAGCUUUCUGCACGGUUGAAUUUUGCACUGGUGACAGAAUCUAGUUAUGUUGGUGUAGCUGUUAUAUGGUUGUUAUUGCUGUAAGCUCUUAGAGAUUGCGGUGGUAGUAGCUGUGUGAUAGUUGCUUAACUGAUUAGAGCAUAGUCAGCAUUGUAUAUGUAGGCAAUCUACUUGUCCCGUCUUGAAACACGGACCAAGGAGUUUUUUAUACUUGCAAGUCAAUGGGCCUUACGAAACCCCACGGCGAAAAGAAAUUAAAGUAUAUCUUCGGAUAUAUGAGAAACGAUGCUGGUGGUCCCCCACUCAGCCGCAGUUUCAUCCUCCUCAAAGGUGUUCGCAUCUGGGGAGAGAUAGAGCAAGUAUGAAGAGACCCGAAAGAUGGUGAACUUUGGUUGUGCAGGUUGAAGCCAGAGGAAACUCUGGUGGAAGACCGAAGCAGUUCUGACGUGCAAAUCGAUUGUCAGACAUGACCAAAGGGGCGAAAGACUAAUCGAACCAUCUAGUAGCUGGUUCCCUCCGAAGUUUCCCUCAGGAUAGCUGGCAUUGAUUUAGUUGUAUCCGGUAAAGCGAAUGAUUAGAAGUGCCGGGGAAGCAAUUUCCUCGACUUAUUCUCAAACUUUAAAUGGGUAUGAUGUAUUGCUUUCUUCAUUGAAGUAAUACGAUUAAUAGCAAUGCUUAGUGGGCCAUUUUUGGUAAGCAGAACUGGCGAUGUGGGAUGAACCAAACAUCUAGUUAAGGUGCCUAAUUUAUGCUCAUGAGAUACCACAAAAGGUGUUGGUUGAUAAAGACAGCAGGACGGUGGACAUGGAAGUUGUCAUCCGCUAAGGAGUGUGUAACAACUCACCUGCCGAAUCAACCAGCCCUGAAAAUGGAUGGCGCUGUAGCAUAAAACCUAUACUAGAUCGGCAUGGUAAGCAAAUUGCGAGUAAGCCAUGUCGUGUAGGAGGGUGCUGUAAUAGCAUCGAARCCUUCAGCGUGAGCUGGGGUGGAGCUGUUACGGGUACAGAUCUUGGUAGUAGUAGCAAUUAUUCAAAGUGAGAUCCUUGAAGACUGAAGUGGAAAAAGGG